RNAcentral lists this transfer RNA (77 nucleotides) under Myxococcota bacterium. Its description in RNAcentral is "tRNA-Val". It matches the Rfam family "tRNA". Rfam says of the family: Transfer RNA (tRNA) molecules are approximately 80 nucleotides in length. Their secondary structure includes four short double-helical elements and three loops (D, anti-codon, and T loops). The record is from RNAcentral. Lineage: Bacteria; Pseudomonadati; Myxococcota.
GGGCGAAUAGCUCAGUUGGCUAGAGCGCCACGUUUACACCGUGGAAGUCGGGGGUUAGAGUCCCUCUUCGCCCACCA